Molecule: non-coding RNA, 329 nt
Organism: Drosophila suzukii
Lineage: Eukaryota; Metazoa; Arthropoda; Insecta; Diptera; Drosophilidae
Source: RefSeq, a predicted model, not a curated record
CUCUAGGGAUAAUUUUUUUGACGUUGGACAUCGCUAUAAUCAUUUGUCCGCUUCCUUCGAAUUAUUAACCAACGCUCAUGAAAAUAUAGCUGUUUAUAACCCUUCGCGGGAUUUUUAUUGGCACAAGACAUUUCAUCAUUCACUUUUGGCUAACGGAACCCAUAAAACACCUUCAAAAGAAACGAAAAAAGUAAAUCUGCUGCGCACAAUUUAAAUGUCUUCUCCUCAGCCCUUUACUUGAUUUCUUUUGUUUUCUCUUCGCUGUUGGCGCGCCCCUGCACCUAUACCCUUUCUUAAGCGAAAAUUACCCGACUAUAUAGUAUAUACUC